Molecule: small nucleolar RNA, 154 nt
Filed under: Aotus nancymaae (Ma's night monkey)
Lineage: Eukaryota; Metazoa; Chordata; Mammalia; Primates; Aotidae
Description: Small nucleolar RNA SNORA42/SNORA80 family (ENSANAG00000004155.1)
Rfam family: Small nucleolar RNA SNORA42/SNORA80 family
About the family: The members of this family belong to the H/ACA class of snoRNAs that guide the sites of modification of uridines to pseudouridines. Human ACA42 (SNORA42) was cloned from HeLa cells by immunoprecipitation with anti-GAR1 antibody.
Source: Rfam by way of RNAcentral
GCACUACUAGGUCUAUGAAAUCUCUGGUUAAAAAAAAAAAAAAAACCACUCCUGGACCUGUCAUAGUAACUCAUGCCAGAGCAAACUGUGUCCCCAAACCAUUGCCUGGCCUCUGUGCCUGUAGGCUGCUGGCACUGAAGUGGCUUGCACAGUG